UACGGAGGGUGCAAGCGUUAUCCGGAUUUAUUGGGUUUAAAGGGUCCGUAGGCGGACUUGUAAGUCAGUGGUGAAAUCUCAUAGCUUAACUAUGAAACUGCCAUUGAUACUGCAGGUCUUGAGCAAAUUUGAAGUGGCUGGAAUAAGUAGUGUAGCGGUGAAAUGCAUAGAUAUUACUUAGAACACCAAUUGUGAAGGCAGGUCACUAAGAUUUAACUGACGCUGAUGGACGAAAGCGUGGGGAGCGAACAGG
RNAcentral lists this unclassified non-coding RNA (253 nucleotides) under uncultured Weeksellaceae bacterium. RNAcentral describes it as "contains 16S-23S intergenic spacer region". It matches the Rfam family "Bacterial small subunit ribosomal RNA", at positions 524 to 776 of the family's 1533-position model. Lineage: Bacteria; Pseudomonadati; Bacteroidota; Flavobacteriia; Flavobacteriales; Weeksellaceae. The record is from RNAcentral.